AGCUCCAAUAGUGUAUAUUAAAGUUGUUGCGGUUAAAAAGCUCGUAGUUGGAUCUACAAUCAAGGCUUGCGGUCGUUCGUUCUGAACGUACUGCACAGUCUGAUUGAUAUAUUCGGUUUGCGAUUGAUGCUCUUCAUUGAGUGUUUUUCGUUGCCGGAACGUUUACCUUGAAAAAAUUGAAGUGCUCAAAGCAGGCUCACGCCUGAACAUUGCUGCAUGGGAUAAUAGAAUAGGACUUCGGUUCUAUUUUGUUGGUUUUCGGAACACGGAGUAAUGAUUAAUAGGGACAGACGGGGGCAUUGGUACUGCUGCGUUAGAGGUGAAAUUCUUGGAUCGUAGCAAGACCAACUACUGCGAAAGCAUUUGCCAAGAAUGUUUUCAUUAAUCAAGAACGAAAGUA
RNAcentral lists this ribosomal RNA (400 nucleotides) under phytoplankton environmental sample. Its description in RNAcentral is "partial small subunit ribosomal RNA". It matches the Rfam family "Eukaryotic small subunit ribosomal RNA", at positions 587 to 991 of the family's 1831-position model. The record is from RNAcentral.